GGUUAAGCGACUAAGCGUACACGGUGGAUGCCCUGGCAGUCAGAGGCGAUGAAGGACGUGCUAAUCUGCGAAAAGCGUCGGUAAGGUGAUAUGAACCGUUAUAGCCGGCGAUGUCCGAAUGGGGAAACCCAGUGUGAUUCGUCACACUAUCGUUAACUGAAUACAUAGGUUAACGAGGCGAACCGGGGGAACUGAAACAUCUAAGUACCCCGAGGAAAAGAAAUCAACCGAGAUUCCCCCAGUAGCGGCGAGCGAACGGGGAGCAGCCCAGAGUCUGAAUCAGCUUGUGUGUUAGUGGAACGGUCUGGAAAGUCCGACGGUACAGGGUGAUAGUCCCGUACACCAAAAUGCACAGGUUGUGAACUCGAAGAGUAGGGCGGGACACGUGGUAUCCUGUCUGAAUAUGGGGGGACCAUCCUCCAAGGCUAAAUACUCCUGACUGACCGAUAGUGAACCAGUACCGUGAGGGAAAGGCGAAAAGAACCCCGGCGAGGGGAGUGAAAAAGAACCUGAAACCGUGUACGUACAAGCAGUGGGAGCACCUUCGGGUGUGACUGCGUACCUUUUGUAUAAUGGGUCAGCGACUUAUAUUCUGUAGCAAGGUUAACCGUAUAGGGGAGCCGCAGGGAAACCGAGUCUUAACUGGGCGUUAAGUUGCAGGGUAUAGACCCGAAACCCGGUGAUCUAGCCAUGGGCAGGUUGAAGGUUGGGUAACACUAACUGGAGGACCGAACCGACUAAUGUUGAAAAAUUAGCGGAUGACUUGUGGCUGGGGGUGAAAGGCCAAUCAAACCGGGAGAUAGCUGGUUCUCCCCGAAAGCUAUUUAGGUAGCGCCUCGUGAACUCAUCUUCGGGGGUAGAGCACUGUUUCGGCUAGGGGGUCAUCCCGACUUACCAACCCGAUGCAAACUACGAAUACCGAAGAAUGUUAUCACGGGAGACACACGGCGGGUGCUAACGUCCGUCGUGAAGAGGGAAACAACCCAGACCGCCAGCUAAGGUCCCAAAGUCAUGGUUAAGUGGGAAACGAUGUGGGAAGGCACAGACAGCCAGGAUGUUGGCUUAGAAGCAGCCAUCAUUUAAAGAAAGCGUAAUAGCUCACUGGUCGAGUCGGCCUGCGCGGAAGAUGUAACGGGGCUAAACCAUGCACCGAAGCUGCGGCAGCGACACUAUGUGUUGUUGGGUAGGGGAGCGUUCUGUAAGCCUGCGAAGGUGACCUGUGAGGGUUGCUGGAGGUAUCAGAAGUGCGAAUGCUGACAUAAGUAACGAUAAAGCGGGUGAAAAGCCCGCUCGCCGGAAGACCAAGGGUUCCUGUCCAACGUUAAUCGGGGCAGGGUGAGUCGACCCCUAAGGCGAGGCCGAAAGGCGUAGUCGAUGGGAAACAGGUUAAUAUUCCUGUACUUGGUGUUACUGCGAAGGGGGGACGGAGAAGGCUAUGUUAGCCGGGCGACGGUUGUCCCGGUUUAAGCAUGUAGGCUGAUUGUCCAGGCAAAUCCGGAUAAUCAAGGCUGAGGUGUGAUGACGAGGCACUACGGUGCUGAAGUAACAAAUGCCCUGCUUCCAGGAAAAGCCUCUAAGCAUCAGGUAACAUCAAAUCGUACCCCAAACCGACACAGGUGGUCAGGUAGAGAAUACCAAGGCGCUUGAGAGAACUCGGGUGAAGGAACUAGGCAAAAUGGUGCCGUAACUUCGGGAGAAGGCACGCUGGUGUGUAGGUGAAGUCCCUGCGGAUGGAGCUGAGACCAGUCGAAGAUACCAGCUGGCUGCAACUGUUUAUUAAAAACACAGCACUGUGCAAACACGAAAGUGGACGUAUACGGUGUGACGCCUGCCCGGUGCCGGAAGGUUAAUUGAUGGGGUUAUCCGUAAGGAGAAGCUCUUGAUCGAAGCCCCGGUAAACGGCGGCCGUAACUAUAACGGUCCUAAGGUAGCGAAAUUCCUUGUCGGGUAAGUUCCGACCUGCACGAAUGGCGUAAUGAUGGCCAGGCUGUCUCCACCCGAGACUCAGUGAAAUUGAACUCGCUGUGAAGAUGCAGUGUACCCGCGGCAAGACGGAAAGACCCCGUGAACCUUUACUAUAGCUUGACACUGAACAUUGAGCCUUGAUGUGUAGGAUAGGUGGGAGGCUUUGAAGCGUGGACGCCAGUCUGCGUGGAGCCAACCUUGAAAUACCACCCUUUAAUGUUUGAUGUUCUAACGUUGGCCCCUUACCGGGGUUGCGGACAGUGUCUGGUGGGUAGUUUGACUGGGGCGGUCUCCUCCCAAAGCGUAACGGAGGAGCACGAAGGUUAGCUAAUCCUGGUCGGACAUCAGGAGGUUAGUGCAAUGGCAUAAGCUAGCUUGACUGCGAGCGUGACGGCGCGAGCAGGUGCGAAAGCAGGUCAUAGUGAUCCGGUGGUUCUGAAUGGAAGGGCCAUCGCUCAACGGAUAAAAGGUACUCCGGGGAUAACAGGCUGAUACCGCCCAAGAGUUCAUAUCGACGGCGGUGUUUGGCACCUCGAUGUCGGCUCAUCACAUCCUGGGGCUGAAGUAGGUCCCAAGGGUAUGGCUGUUCGCCAUUUAAAGUGGUACGCGAGCUGGGUUUAGAACGUCGUGAGACAGUUCGGUCCCUAUCUGCCGUGGGCGCUGGAGAAUUGAGGGGGGCUGCUCCUAGUACGAGAGGACCGGAGUGGACGCAUCACUGGUGUUCGGGUUGUCAUGCCAAUGGCACUGCCCGGUAGCUAAAUGCGGAAGAGAUAAGUGCUGAAAGCAUCUAAGCACGAAACUUGCCCCGAGAUGAGUUCUCCCUGAGACUUUAAGUCUCCUGAAGGAACGUUAAAGACGAUGACGUUGAUAGGCCGGGUGUGUAAGCGCAGCGAUGCGUUGAGCUAACCGGUACUAAUGAACCGUGAGGCUUAACCUUACAACGCCGAAGAUGUUUUG
RNAcentral lists this ribosomal RNA (2922 nucleotides) under Klebsiella pneumoniae HK787. Its description in RNAcentral is "bacterial LSU rRNA". It matches the Rfam family "Bacterial large subunit ribosomal RNA". Lineage: Bacteria; Pseudomonadati; Pseudomonadota; Gammaproteobacteria; Enterobacterales; Enterobacteriaceae. The record is from RNAcentral.